CGUGUGGUCUUCCCAUACAUUUAAUAAAUGCUUGUUGACUGAAAGAACUGUCUCCUAAAUUCUCCCAAAUUUCUAUCCCUUUUCCCAUGCCUUUUUGAACAGAUCCCACCUAAAUUUGCCUUUGAAGCAAAUGCUCCUCCUAUUUCCCAAGAAUUCCCUUUGGUCCCUGCUUAGAAAACUGAGCCCCCCAGAGUUUUCUUCUUAACUUUCUCAUUCU
Molecule: non-coding RNA, 217 nt
Organism: Vicugna pacos (alpaca)
Lineage: Eukaryota; Metazoa; Chordata; Mammalia; Artiodactyla; Camelidae
Source: RefSeq, a predicted model, not a curated record